AUACGGAGGAUCCAAGCGUUAUCCGGAUUUAUUGGGUUUAAAGGGUGCGCAGGCGGCCUUAUAAGUCAGUGGUGAAAUCUCCCGGCUCAACCGGGAAACUGCCAUUGAUACUGUAAGGCUAGAAUACAGACGAGGUAGGCGGAAUGUAGCAUGUAGCGGUGAAAUGCUUAGAUAUGCUACAGAACACCGAUCGCGAAGGCAGCUUACCAGACUGUAAUUGACGCUAAGGCACGAAAGCGUGGGGAGCGAACAGGAUUAGAAACCCGAGUAGUCC
This 274-nucleotide ribosomal RNA is filed under the name uncultured bacterium. Its description in RNAcentral is "partial 16S ribosomal RNA". It matches the Rfam family "Bacterial small subunit ribosomal RNA", at positions 523 to 796 of the family's 1533-position model. The record is from RNAcentral.